Molecule: long non-coding RNA, 2505 nt
Organism: Dama dama (fallow deer)
Lineage: Eukaryota; Metazoa; Chordata; Mammalia; Artiodactyla; Cervidae
Exons: 5
Source: RefSeq, a predicted model, not a curated record
CCUGUCUGUACUGCAGCUUACUCGUGCCUUAUAUGGAGAACACUGAAGGAUUAUUAUGAGGAACACAGGAGAUAAAUGCAUGUAAAACAUUUUACACUCCAUUUGGCACAAAUUCAGCAUCCAGUAACUCUUCACUGCUACCCCUAGGCAAGAUACUUAAUAUUUGCCAUGUAAUAAGUGCUCAAAGGGAUUGGGGGCAGGAGGAGAAGGGGAUGACAGAGGAUGAGAUGGCUGGAUGGCAUCACCGACUCCAUGGGCAUGAGUUUGAGUAAACUCCGGGAGUUGGUGAUGGACAGGGACGCCUGGCAUGCUGCGAUUCAUGGGGUCGCAAAGAGUCGGACACAACUGAGCGACUGAACUGAACUGAAGUGCUCAAAAAAUGGUGCCAGGACGAAGAUGACUCAACAGAAGUAAAGAACCAAGGAAUCCAGGGCAGUGUCAGAUCUGAAAAAGCAAUCCCAGCACCAGUUCCUUGUCUCACACUGGCUUGGCAACUUCACGUCUCUCUAAAGUAGAAAGGAAAAUCAAGUCAAACGGGCUUUCCUGAAACAUGGCGUGAAACACCACAUGUCACCUUUGCUCCUGGAGGAGACGCUAAAGUACUUGUUGAGGGGGGAAGAGAUGAUCCUGAAGAGAAAGCUGCAUAAAGUAUUUCCUGGUUGAAAAGGCUCUGGAAUCAAAGUCUGGAGUUUGAAUCUCAACUCUGAAGUGCAUCAGUUGUGUGACCUUAGGAGCAUCAUGGUGACUUUCCUGUCCACUUCUCACCACGGAAUGCCUGGUAGGGGUGGAAGAGUGGAGGCGAGUUGGGAAAGUUCACAGUUCACAGCUUUCUAGGCCCAGAGGAGCUGCAGUCACAUCUGAGCAUGAUUCAGGGACUCUGGGCUGGUUUUGUGACUUGCAUGAAGAAACAGAAUGUGAUGGAUGUGAAGCUGUGUGACUUUCAGCUUUUUGAAAAAUAAUUAAAAGUCCUGAUUUAGAGCAUUUGCCAAUUUCUAAGAAUCUGCCUGAAAUGCAGAAGACACAGGAGAUGUAGGUUUGAUCCCUAGGUCAGGAAGAUCCCCUGUAUAGGACAUGGCAACACACUCCAGUAUGCCUGCCCGAAAAAUCCUGUGGACAAAGGAGCCUGGUGGGCUAUGGUCCGAAGGGUUGCAAAGAUUUGGACACAACUGAAUAACUGAGCACAUAGUUUAAGUACUGCCAGCAUGACUGAUUUCGAGCUACCAGUGUGAUACCACAGAGCAUGUAGUUGGAAAGAGACAGGCAUAAAUGACCAAUGGGCUCCAGCAUAGCAUCGCUUCCAGACUUACUCCUUAGGAGAUAUGUCAGCUUCCAUUUUUGCUUUCUUGGAAUCCAGCUGACGUGAAGGAUCCUUGGGCUAGGCUCCUGAGAGGCCAAAUGGAAAGAAAGGCCAUGUGGAGAAGAAAAGAAGCCUUAGGCGAUCCAUCCCUGGCUGGGCUCCCAGCUGAAUGCAGCUGCAUACGUGGCCUCAGCCAACAUUCCAUGACAUGUAAGACCAUGCAGCCAACUCACAGAAAUGUGAGACACAAUACAUUGUUGUAGACUUAAGCCACUACAUUUUGGGAUAUUUUAAUUAGUCAGCAAUAGGUAACUGGACACAUGUAUGGCCAAGCCAUUGUAAAACAAUUUUUUACAUUUUACUCCUAUGUUAGCAAUGUGGUUCAGCUGGUAAAGAAUCCAUCUGCAAUGCGGGAGACCUGGGAUCAAUCCCUGGAUUGGGAAGAUCCCCUGGAGAAGGGAAAGGCUACCCACUCCAAUAUUUUGGCCUGGAGAAUUCCAUAGACUGUAUAGUCCGUGGGGUCUCACAGAGUCGGACAUGUUUAAGCAACUUUCAUUUUCACUAGCAAUGUACAAGAGUGCCUUGUUCUUUGCACAUCAGCCUGUACUUCGUAUUAUCAUCACCAGGUUGAAACGUUAAAAAAUGUACUUUGCAGUUUAGCUUGUAUUCUUUGAAAAUGAAUUUGAACAGUUUUUCAGAUACUUAUUGGCCAUAAAUUGGCUGUGCUCUCUGUCCAUUUUUCUGUUGAUUUGUAAGGGCUCUUUAUAUUUUAAUAGGGCUUCUCAGGUGGCUCAAUGGUAAAUUAUCUGCCUGCAGUGUGGAAGACACAGGUUUGAUACCUGGGUCAGGAAUAUCCCCUGGAGAAGGAAAUGGCAACCCACUGUAGUAUUGUUGCCUGGGAAAUACCAAGGGCAGAGCAGCCUGGCAGGCUAUAGCGCAUGGGAUCACAAAAGAAUCAGACAUGACUUAGCGAAUAAACAAAAACAAUAUAGUUGGCUAACAAUUUCGUGUAUAGUGAAAACAAAUGGACGAUAAUUUGCAAUGUAUGUGGCUACCUGGUUUGCUUGUAUGCUCUUUGCAGUAAAAAGCUUAAACUAUGUAUAUGAAAAAAUGAUGCCUAUGGCAAUUUUCUGCAAGUUUCUUAUAACAUGAUCAUUUUCAGUUUUGGCUUAUUUGUUUUUUUUAGUAUUUCUCACUGUAUUCUAAUA